RNAcentral lists this ribosomal RNA (1361 nucleotides) under uncultured bacterium. Its description in RNAcentral is "bacterial SSU rRNA". It matches the Rfam family "Bacterial small subunit ribosomal RNA", at positions 28 to 1381 of the family's 1533-position model. The record is from RNAcentral.
GAUGAACGCUAGCUACAGGCUUAACACAUGCAAGCCGCGGGGCAGCAUGAAGGUUGCUUGCAACUUUUGAUGGCGACCGGCGUACGGGUGAGUAACGCGUAUCCAACCUUCCCUUUGCUAUCGGAUAGCCCGUCGAAAGGCGGAUUAAUACGAUAUGUUCUCCGAAGAAGACAUCUGACUCGGAGGAAAAGCGCAAGCUGGCACUGGAUGGGGAUGCGUCUGAUUAGCUAGUCGGCGGGGUAACGGCCCACCGAGGCAACGAUCAGUAGGGGUUCUGAGAGGAAAGUCCCCCACAUUGGAACUGAGACACGGUCCAAACUCCUACGGGAGGCAGCAGUGAGGAAUAUUGGUCAAUGGGUGAGAGCCUGAACCAGCCAAGUAGCGUGCAGGAGUACGGCCCUAUGGGUUGUAAACUGCUUUUAUGCGGGGAUAAUAGGAAGCACGUGUGCUUUUUUGCAGGUACCGCAUGAAUAAGGACCGGCUAAUUCCGUGCCAGCAGCCGCGGUAAUACGGAAGGUCCUGGUGUUAUCCGGAUUUAUUGGGUUUAAAGGGAGCGUAGGCGGCUAGUUAAGCGUGUUGUGAAAUGUAGUUGCUCAACAUCUGCACUGCAGCGCGAACUGGUUGGCUUGAGUGCGCGGAAGGCAGGCGGAAUUUGUGGUGUAGCGGUGAAAUGCCUAGAUAUCACGAAGAACUCCGAUUGCGAAGGCAGCUUGCCGCAGCGCUACUGACGCUGAGGCUCGAAGGUGCGGGUAUCGAACAGGAUUAGAUACCCUGGUAGUCCGCACAGUAAACGAUGGAUGCCCGCUGUCCGGCAUUAAGUUGGGCGGCCGAGCGAAAGCAUUGAGCAUCCCACCUGGGGAGUACGCCGGCAAUCGGUGAAACUCAAAGGAAUUGACGGGGGCCCGCACAAGCGGAGGAACAUGUGGUUUAAUUCGAUGAUACGCGAGGAACCUUACCCGGGCUUGAAUUGCAAGAGAAGGAAGUAGAGAUACUGACGCCCUUCGGGGCUCUUGUGAAGGUGCUGCAUGGUUGUCGUCAGCUCGUGCCGUGAGGUGUCGGCUUAAGUGCCAUAACGAGCGCAACCCCUGUCCUCAGUUACCAUCAGUUUGGCUGGGCACUCUAAGGAUACUGCCUCCGCAAGGAGUGAGGAAGGUGGGGAUGACGUCAAAUCAGCACGGCCCUUACGUCCGGGGCUACACACGUGUUACAAUGGCGCUGACAGAGUGCAGGCGGCCGGCAACGUCCGUCUAAUCACCAAACUGCGCCUCAGUUCGGACCGGGGUCUGCAACCCGACCCCGCGAAGCUGGAUUCGCUAGUAAUCGCGCAUCAGCCAUGGCGCGGUGAAUACGUUCCCGGGCCU